RNAcentral lists this ribosomal RNA (273 nucleotides) under uncultured bacterium. Its description in RNAcentral is "partial 16S ribosomal RNA". It matches the Rfam family "Bacterial small subunit ribosomal RNA", at positions 523 to 796 of the family's 1533-position model. The record is from RNAcentral.
AUACGGAGGGUGCGAGCGUUAAUCGGAAUUACUGGGCGUAAAGCGUACGUAGGCGGUUGGUUAAGUUAGAUGUGAAAGCCCCGGGCUUAACCUGGGAACUGCAUUUAAAACUGACGAACUAGAGUUGAGUAGAGGGGAGUGAAUUUCAGGUGUAGCGGUGAAAUGCGUAGAGAUCUGAAGGAACACCAGUGGCGAAGGCGACUCCCUGGACUCGAACUGACGCUGAGGUACGAAAGCGUGGGUAGCAAACGGGAUUAGAAACCCUAGUAGUCC